Molecule: ribosomal RNA, 533 nt
Filed under: fungal sp. SNB-GSS13
Lineage: Eukaryota; Fungi
Description: LSU rRNA
Rfam family: 5.8S ribosomal RNA (bases 194-347)
Source: RNAcentral
UUCCCGUAGGGGUGAACUCUGCUGGAGGGAUCAUUACUGAGUUACCGCUCUAUAACCCUUUGUGAACAUACCUAACUGUUGCUUCGGCGGACGGCUCCCGGGCCCCCGGCCCCGCUCUGCGGGGUGUCCGCCGGAGGAUAACCAAACUCUGAUUUAACGACGUUUCUUCUGAGUGGCACAAGCAAAUAAUCAAAACUUUUAACAACGGAUCUCUUGGUUCUGGCAUCGAUGAAGAACGCAGCGAAAUGCGAUAAGUAAUGUGAAUUGCAGAAUUCAGUGAAUCAUCGAAUCUUUGAACGCACAUUGCGCCCGCCAGCAUUCUGGCGGGCAUGCCUGUUCGAGCGUCAUUUCAACCCUCAAGCACUGCUUGGCGUUGGGGCUCUACGGUUGACGUAGGCCCUCAAAGGUAGUGGCGGACCCUCUCGGAGCCUCCUUUGCGUAGUAACUUUUGUCUCGCACUGGGAUUCGGAGGGACUCUAGCCGUUAAACCCCCAAUUUUCCAAAGGUUGACCUCGGAUCAGGUAGCAUCUGCA